Molecule: long non-coding RNA, 835 nt
Filed under: Mytilus galloprovincialis (Mediterranean mussel)
Lineage: Eukaryota; Metazoa; Mollusca; Bivalvia; Mytilida; Mytilidae
Source: RNAcentral
AUUUAUCAUAUAUAGAUUUUGGUGAAAAAAGCAUUGAUACACAUUAUCGAAUUGCUAUUAAAUGACCACACAGUACACCUAAGUUACAAAAUCAAAAAUUAGUUCUUUAUCAUUCGUUUGAGCAGUUGAUCUAGUGAUUUAUGGAAUCAGGUAUUACAAACCAUCUUUUGACUCUCAAAUCGAUGACGACCUGUUUUACUGGCAUUUUAACUGCUUUACAUAGCGAACGUUGAAGCUCAGGAACCGUUGCUGUGAAUAAACGUGUGUAUUUCACUGCUUCAGUUAGACUUUUAGACAAAUAAAUAUCCCAGAAAGAAAGCGAGAUUAAACACCCCAUUUGGUUAAGGAAUAUGACUAUGCUUAAGUCAGGAAUGUGUCAGUUGUUUUUCUGCCGUUUUUUAAUCAAUGUUUUUUUUCAACAAGGAUCUUUGUUUUAUAAAUAUCAAACUUAACGGAAAUCAGUUGAGAAACAACAUAAAACGUAUGCAAAACAGACAGACAGACUUCUAUUUUAUAGUUGGUGUAGUAUUAUAAAACCAUCAGACCCAAUAGCAUUGAACCAUCAAUCUUUUCACAAACAAAAGUGAAGCUGAAUAAGUCAUGUAAAUCCAAUCUUUUGAUGUACCAAUUACAAAUAUAAACUAUUACUUGUUUAAAGAAAGAUUUUAUUGUUUUCAUGGACUUUUUGAAAUAACGAAUAAGUGGCAACAUAUCUUUUGACGGAUCCUUUUCACGAUCAUCAAAAUGCUGUACACGAUAAAAAUCCUAUUUGUUUACUUUUUUUCUCUCAACAAUUUCUAAGAUCAAUCUGCCUUUUGUGGUUGUGUAAAAACGG